AGUGAACGCUGGCGGUAGGCCUAACACAUGCAAGUCGAACGGCAGCACAGUAAGAGCUUGCUCUUACGGGUGGCGAGUGGCGGACGGGUGAGGAAUACAUCGGAAUCUACUUUUUCGUGGGGGAUAACGUAGGGAAACUUACGCUAAUGCCGCAUACGACCUACGGGUGAAAGCAGGGGAGCUUCGGACCUUGCGCGAUUGAAUGAGCCGAUGUCGGAUUAGCUAGUUGGCGGGGUAAAGGCCCACCAAGGCGACGAUCCGUAGCUGGUCUGAGAGGAUGAUCAGCCACACUGGAACUGAGACACGCUCCAGACUCCUACGGGAGGCAGCAGUGGGGAAUAUUGGACAAUGGGGGCAAGCCUGAUCCAGCCAUACCGCGUGGGUGAAGAAGGCCUUCGGGUUGUAAAGCCCUUUUGUUGGGAAAGAAAAGCAGCAGGUUAAUACCCCGCUGUUCUGACGGUACCCAAAGAAUAAGCACCGGCUAACUUCGUG
Molecule: ribosomal RNA, 492 nt
Filed under: uncultured bacterium
Lineage: Bacteria
Description: partial 16S ribosomal RNA
Rfam family: Bacterial small subunit ribosomal RNA
Source: RNAcentral